Molecule: ribosomal RNA, 578 nt
Filed under: uncultured fungus
Lineage: Eukaryota; Fungi
Description: eukaryotic LSU rRNA
Rfam family: 5.8S ribosomal RNA (bases 227-380)
Source: RNAcentral
AAGUCGUAACAAGGUCUCCGUUGGUGAACCAGCGGAGGGAUCAUUACAGAGUUUCAUACUCCAAACCCUUUGUGAACAUACCUGUUUCCGUUGCUUCGGCAGGUCGGGGGUCACCCCCCGCCCGCCGCCGGGCCCCCCUCGCGGGGUCGCCCGGCGGGCCUGCCGGAGGGCACAAGACUCUGUAUUUCAAAACUACCUCUCUGAGUUAUCUUUACAAAUAAGUAAAAACUUUCAACAACGGAUCUCUUGGUUCUGGCAUCGAUGAAGAACGCAGCGAAAUGCGAUAAGUAAUGUGAAUUGCAGAAUUCAGUGAAUCAUCGAAUCUUUGAACGCACAUUGCGCCCAUUAGUAUUCUAGUGGGCAUGCCUGUUCGAGCGUCAUUUCAACCCUCAAGCCCUAGCUGCUUGGUAUUGGGAGCUUGUCUGCGGACAACUCCUCAAAAGCAUUGGCGGAGUCGCGGUGACCCCAAGCGUAGUAAUUCUUCUCGCUUAGGUGUGUUAACGCUGGCGUUCAGCCACUAAACCCCCUAUUUUCUAGUGGUUGACCUCGGAUCAGGUAGGAAUACCCGCUGAACUUAA